This 304-nucleotide ribosomal RNA is filed under the name uncultured Sulfurimonas sp. RNAcentral describes it as "bacterial SSU rRNA". It matches the Rfam family "Bacterial small subunit ribosomal RNA", at positions 29 to 334 of the family's 1533-position model. Lineage: Bacteria; Pseudomonadati; Campylobacterota; Epsilonproteobacteria; Campylobacterales; Sulfurimonadaceae. The record is from RNAcentral.
AAUGAACGCUGGCGGCGUGCUUAACACAUGCAAGUCGAACGAUGAAGCCUAGCUUGCUAGGUGGAUUAGUGGCGCACGGGUGAGUAAUAUAUAGAUAAUGUGCCUCUUAGUCUGGGAUAGCCAUUGGAAACGAUGAUUAAUACUAGAUACUCCUUCUCUUUUUAAUGAGAGUUGGGAAGGUUUUUCGCUAAGAGAUCAGUCUAUAUCCCAUCAGUUAGUUGGUAGGGUAACGGCCUACCAAGACAAUGACGGGUAGCGGGUUUGAGAGGAUGAUCCGCCACACUGGUACUGAGACACGGACCAG